AGGUUCUGAAACCAUUACAUUCGUUGUUCAUCAUAAUAUAAUUCAUACAAACAUACUAGUCGAUUAACAAAUAAACUAAUCAUUCAUCUUUGACUUGCCUUUAUCUCUACUGGAACCCUCGGUUCGCUCGACCUUAACUGCAAUCAUAUGAUUCAAGCAAGAAGUGAGCAUAACUAGCUCAGCAAGUCUAAUAAUAUAUUAUAUAGAUACCACUUCGGGAAUCAUAUGAUUAUUCUUCAAUAACUGAAUAAUAGUUAUGAAGUACUAUGAAACAUUGAAUAGCACUUCUCAUCUCAUAAAACAAUUCCAAAGUACAUAUAGUAGUUUGGAAAUUCUGAGUAGGUCCAUAGACCAUGAACAUUCUCUUUAGCUUUUAUUCAUGAAAAGGAAAAUCUGGCACUAAGUCCGUAAGUCUGACAUAUCUUACGAGCACAUCUUGGUGAUCAGCCUAUAGUACUCUAUGUUGAUCAACACGACAUCCGUUAAACGUAUUUACGUUUAAGUUUUGGCAACCUCGCGUGCCCAUCAAAUAAUCGAUGUAAAAUACAUUUGUUUAUUCAUACUCAGGCUUACCUUGAAUCCGUACCAAACAAUUGGCGUAGGAUAGCG
Molecule: long non-coding RNA, 609 nt
Filed under: Panax ginseng (ginseng)
Lineage: Eukaryota; Viridiplantae; Streptophyta; Magnoliopsida; Apiales; Araliaceae
Description: long non-coding RNA (PGIN_LNC000133)
Source: RNAcentral